UCAAGUGAAUCUCAUGAAAGAUCUCCAUCUGUGGAGAUAGAGACAGAAUUGAAAAGAAGAGAGACAGAAUUGAAAAGAGAGAGAGAAUGAUAUAGAAGAAAGAGAGAACUGCAUGAAAGAGCCAUGGAACUGGAUACAAAAGCAAUGAAACUGGAUGAAAGAGCGAGGAAACUGGACAGAAGAGCGAUGGAGCCGGAUUUUAGAGAAAGAGACCUGGAGAGAAGAGAAAAAGAACUGGAAUUAAGAGAGAGAGUACUGGAUAUGGGCCAUUUUCCAUACAGACAUUGAAGAUGGAUUAUAAAUAUGAUUAUACUGGAUGGAAGAGAGAUGGAACCAGAGAUGAGAGAGUACUGGAGAUAAAAGAGAGAGUACUGGAGAUGAUGCUGUUUAAACCAGAAUGGUUGAUUGAUCGUAUAGAGGAAGAAAUUAUGGAAAGAGCAAUGGAACCAGAUAUUACAGUAACGGAAAUAGAGAGAAAAGAGAAUCUACUGAAGGUAGUAGAGAGUACACACAGGAGAUAUAUGUAUGUAUUUCGAAAUAUGUAUUCCAAUAAAAGAGAAAGAGAAAUGGAACUGGAUAGAAGAGCAAAGGAACUGGAUAGAAGAGCAAUGGAGGUUGAUAGAAGAGAGAGAGAAAUCGUGAAAAGAGUGACUGAACCAGAUGUUAGAGAGAGAGAACUGGAUAGAAGAGAGAGAGAACUGGAACAGAGAACAGAAAUGAUGAUCCUGUACAGAAGACCAUUUCCCCCAUUUAUGAGAUACAGAAGAGCAAUGAAAUACAGAAGAGCAAUGGAACUGGAUAGAAGAGCAAAGGAAUUGGAUAGAAGAGCAAAGGAAUUGGAUAGAAGAGCAAAGGAACUGGAGAGAAGAGCAAAGGAACUGGAGAGAAGAGGGAUGGAACCAGAUAUUAGAGAGAGAGAAUUGGCAAGAAGAGAAAAAGAACUGGAGAAAAGAGAGAGAGAACAAUUUAUAAAUGAAAGACAGAUGGAAUUUCAUUAUAUGAUAGUUGGAGGAGACACAGCACUGGAUAGAAGAGAGAAAGAACUUGAUGGAAAGGAGAUGACUGGAGGACUGAAACCUGUGCGACAGGGCAGCAUGGAAUUACAGCCUCCUACAAUGAAUGACGAACCUCCAGGUUCUCCCUGA
This is a long non-coding RNA of Cyprinus carpio (common carp), 1145 nucleotides long. Lineage: Eukaryota; Metazoa; Chordata; Actinopteri; Cypriniformes; Cyprinidae. The record is from Ensembl.